GGCGAACGGGUGAGUAACACGUGAGUAAUCUGCCCUUCACUUUGGGAUAAGCUUCGGAAACGGGGUCUAAUACCGAAUACGACCACUCCUCGCAUGAGGUGGUGGUGGAAACUUUUUUGGGUGGGGGAUGUGCUCGCGGCCUAUCAGCUUGUUGGUGGGGUAAUGGCCUACCAAGGCUUCGACGGGUAGCCGGCCUGAGAGGGUGACCGGCCACACUGGGACUGAGACACGGCCCAGACUCCUACGGGAGGCAGCAGUGGGGAAUGUUGGACAAUGGGCGGAAGCCUGAUCCAGCAACGCCGCGUGAGGGAUGACGGCCUUCGGGUUGUAAACCUCUUUCAUCACCGACGAAGGCGCGAUCUUUUGGUCGUGUUGACGGUAGGUGGAGAAGGAGCACCGGCCAACUACGUGCCAGCAGCCGCGGUAAUACGUAGGGUGCGAGCGUUGUCCGGAAUUAUUGGGCGUAAAGGGCUCGUAGGUGGUUUGUCGCGUCGGGAGUGAAAACCAUGAGCUUAACUCAUGGCUUGCUUUCGAUACGGGCAGACUGGAGGUAUGCAGGGGAGAACGGAAUUCCUGGUGUAGCGGUGAAAUGCGCAGAUAUCAGGAGGAACACCGGUGGCGAAGGCGGUU
Molecule: ribosomal RNA, 630 nt
Filed under: uncultured bacterium
Lineage: Bacteria
Description: bacterial SSU rRNA
Rfam family: Bacterial small subunit ribosomal RNA
Source: RNAcentral